CCUACGGGUGGCAGCAGUGAGGAAUAUUGGUCAAUGGACGCAAGUCUGAACCAGCCAUGCCGCGUGCAGGAUGACGGCUCUAUGAGUUGUAAACUGCUUUUGUACGAGGGUAAACCCCGAUACGUGUAUCGGGUUGAAAGUAUCGUACGAAUAAGGAUCGGCUAACUCCGUGCCAGCAGCCGCGGUAAUACGGAGGAUCCGAGCGUUAUCCGGAUUUAUUGGGGUUAAAGGGUGCGUAGGCGGUUUGAUAAGUUAGAGGUGAAAUCUCGGGGCUCAACCCCGAAACUGCCUCUAAUACUGUUGGACUAGAGAAUAGUUGCGGUAGGCGGAAUGUAUGGUGUAGCGGUGAAAUGCUUAGAGAUCAUACAGAACACCGAUUGCGAAGGCAGCUUACCAAACUAUAUCUGACGUUGAGGCACGAAAGCGUGGGGAGCAAACAGGAUUAGAUACCCCGGUAGUC
RNAcentral lists this ribosomal RNA (460 nucleotides) under uncultured bacterium. RNAcentral's name for it is "partial 16S ribosomal RNA". It matches the Rfam family "Bacterial small subunit ribosomal RNA", at positions 338 to 795 of the family's 1533-position model. The record is from RNAcentral.